This 506-nucleotide ribosomal RNA is filed under the name Osphya orientalis. RNAcentral describes it as "partial 16S ribosomal RNA". The stretch from base 384 to 506 matches the Rfam family "Bacterial large subunit ribosomal RNA", at positions 2473 to 2595 of the family's 2925-position model. The record is from RNAcentral. Lineage: Eukaryota; Metazoa; Arthropoda; Insecta; Coleoptera; Melandryidae.
CAUGGUUUUUUGAUUAUAAUUUAAAAUUGUACCUGCCCAAUGAAGUUUUAAAUGGCCGCAGUAUAUUGACUGUGCGAAGGUAGCAUAAUCAUUAGUUUUUUAAUUGAAAGCUGGAAUGAAUGGUUUGAUGAAAAAAUUACUGUCUCAAAUUUAAAAAUUGAAGUUUAUUUUUAAGUGAAAAAGCUUAAAUUAAAAAUAAAGACGAGAAGACCCUAUAGAGUUUAAUAUUAAUUGAUAAAAAUUGAUUUUGUAUUAAAUUUAAUUUUAUUAAUUUGAUAUUUGGUUGGGGUGACAAAUAAACUAAAUAAACUUUUUUUAAUUAUUACAUUAAUUAGUGAAUAGUUGAUCUUAAAUUUUUGAUUAAAAGAAAAAAUUACCUUAGGGAUAACAGCGUAAUUUUUUCGAAGAGUUCAAAUCGAUGAAAAAGAUUGCGACCUCGAUGUUGGAUUAAAAUUUAAAUUAGGUGUAGAAGCUUAAAAUUUUAAGUCUGUUCGACUUUUAAAAUU